AUUCAACUGACGAGUCCCAAAUAGGACGAAACGCGUGUCCUGGAU
RNAcentral lists this non-coding RNA (45 nucleotides) under Schistosoma mansoni. The record is from RNAcentral. Lineage: Eukaryota; Metazoa; Platyhelminthes; Trematoda; Strigeidida; Schistosomatidae.